This 73-nucleotide transfer RNA is filed under the name Acidobacteriota bacterium. Its description in RNAcentral is "Acidobacteria bacterium tRNA-Arg". It matches the Rfam family "tRNA". From Rfam's summary of the family: Transfer RNA (tRNA) molecules are approximately 80 nucleotides in length. Lineage: Bacteria; Pseudomonadati; Acidobacteriota. RNAcentral also lists the same sequence under 1 other name. The record is from RNAcentral.
GCCCUCGUAGCUCAGGGGAUAGAGCACUGGAUUCCUAAUCCAGGUGUCGCUGGUUCGAUUCCAGCCGAGGGCG